RNAcentral lists this long non-coding RNA (989 nucleotides) under Phaseolus vulgaris (common bean). Its description in RNAcentral is "long non-coding RNA (PVUL_LNC001015)". The record is from RNAcentral. Lineage: Eukaryota; Viridiplantae; Streptophyta; Magnoliopsida; Fabales; Fabaceae.
GCACUUUGCUUUCUCUAUCUCACUUUUCUUGCAUUCAAUGAGGCAAUUUUAAUUAAAUCUCUAGAUCAAUACACCAACCAAUUAUGCACCGGAAUUUUACUCAAUUAAGCAUUGCAUCGUAAACACCAAUUAUGAACCAAAUGAUGCAAACAAUUCAAGUCAUCAUACUACAUCACAACAUCGUGAUCAAUUCAUCAAACAGUUUCAAUGCACAAAAUUAUACCACCAAAUUUUACUAAUCAAAAGAGAAACUGCACACCAAUUUCGAAACCAAUCACCGCUGCAUCACUACCAGAAACAUCAAGGGAAACACCAGAAUUUAUUAAAACAAAUUGAAUGAAUCUAAUUUUUUUUUUAAUUCAAUUAGGCAAAUAAACCUCCACUACACACAUGCAUACUCCAGCUGCUGCCAAAAUUUAAACCACAGAGGAAUUUAAGCAAACAACUUAUCUGCAGUUCUUGUUUACGUAGUUGCAAAACCAAAAUUCUCACUAAACAAUAUGAACUCUAGCUUCAAUUGAUUUUGGUUCUGCACUCCAAACUGCUCUGUUCAACGCAGAUGCCAAAUUUCACUCUAAUUCUAGAAAUCAUUUGAAUGAAACACGCACCGAUUCAAAAUGAACAAAUUGCAACCCACCGUUCACCUAUUCUCCGAUUAAUCUUCUCCAAAAUCGCUCCACAAUACGAAGAACAAUGAACGCAAAAGGUAGAACCAAAAAUCUUCGGAAUCGGAAGUGAAAGCGGAAGAAGAACUUACAUGAAUCAAUUCAUUCUUCACUGCUUUAAUUCUUCGAUUUUCAAUUCACCAGACCAACUCGAUCGUGAUUCAAACAGAUUUCUCCGGUCGUCUUCUCCGUUCACCGAUUUCACUGGAAAACGCCACUGUCGUUUGCGAUUCCUCCGUUCACAAUUCCUCCGCGCGCGAUUCCGAUUUAGGUCAUCGGAAAUCACAAACCUCCGUUUUGCACCGUUACUAUUCUUUGAUCAAU